GAAAAGUUUGAUUCUUGCUUUGAAAUUUAUUUAAUAAAUUUUUUACAUGUAUGUCUGGCAGUAUUUAAUUUUAUACAACUAAUUAGGUAUAGAGAUUAAUUUAGUUCUGGAGAAAUUCGUGCCAGCAUCCGCGGUUAGACGUAGGGGGCUAAUAAAUUUAUUUGGUUAAAUAAAGUAUUGGAAUAAAUUUUAAUCUAGCAAGGCUUAAGUGAAAUUAAUCUUGUUUAAUUAAAUUUUUGGGGAAGCUUUGAAAUUUUGUUAACGGGACCAGGAUUAGAUACCCUGUUACUCGAUUUUAAUUUUUACCUAAGUAGUAUUAUUUAUUUUUGAAACUUAAAGAAUUUGGCGGUACUUUAUUCUUUUCAGAGGAACCUGUUCUGUUAAAGAUACCACACUAUUAUAAAACUUUUUUUUAAUUUAUAUAUCGUUGUCUUUAGAAUUAGUUAUAUAGGCUUUUUCAAUUAUUUUAAUUUAAAAAAAAGUCAAAUCAAGGUGUAGUAUAAUUAAGUAGAAAUGGGUUACAUUUAUUUAAAUAACAGAUUUAUGCUUGUGAAAAAUUGGAUUUGAGAUUAAAAUUACUAUUUAUAUAAUUUGAACUGAGCUCUAAGGUAUGUACAUAUCGCCCGUCGCUCUAAUUAUUUAAAAUUAGAUAAGUCGUAACAAAGUAGUUCUUCCGGAAGGAGGGGCUUAGGCGUG
RNAcentral lists this non-coding RNA (696 nucleotides) under Kaylathalia klovstadi. Lineage: Eukaryota; Metazoa; Arthropoda; Collembola; Entomobryomorpha; Isotomidae. The record is from RNAcentral.